RNAcentral lists this unclassified non-coding RNA (304 nucleotides) under uncultured fungus. RNAcentral's name for it is "sequence contains ITS2". The stretch from base 1 to 52 matches the Rfam family "5.8S ribosomal RNA", at positions 103 to 154 of the family's 154-position model. The record is from RNAcentral. Lineage: Eukaryota; Fungi.
AACGCACCUUGCGCUCCUUGGUAUUCCGAGGAGCAUGCCUGUUUGAGUGUCUUGAAGUCAUCAACCCCUCCCGUUUCGUGCGGAGAGGUGAGUUGGAUCUGGGGGCCUGCGACCGAAAGGCCGCUCCCCUCAAAUGAUUCGGUUGGGCCUGCGGGUCGAACUCGGUUGGGCGUUGUAACAACCUCGCUCUCGUCCGAGAUGUUCCCCUGUCAUCGUGCCCCUCCUCGACCGUCGGUUUGGAGCGACGGUCAAAACAACUUUGAAAUCUGACCUCAAAUCAGGUAGGACUACCCGCUGAACUUAA